CACUCCUGUUUCUGCCCUAAAUUCAUCCUCAUUGAAUUAUAGGUUCUGGUGAUGGAGAAGAUCAAGCCCGUCAACGGCCGUUGGUGAAUCUGUCAAAUGUUUGUAACCUCGCCUUCGGCUUUUGGCGGGAUCGUGUGGCUGGUCAGUGUUCGAAGACAAGGCAUUUUCUGGUGCUAGUCGGCUGGCCUCUACUACAUUC
This 199-nucleotide small nucleolar RNA is filed under the name Candidozyma auris. RNAcentral describes it as "Candida auris Small nucleolar RNA snR43". It matches the Rfam family "Small nucleolar RNA snR43". The record is from Rfam by way of RNAcentral. Lineage: Eukaryota; Fungi; Ascomycota; Pichiomycetes; Serinales; Metschnikowiaceae.